AAAAAAAAAAAACCUGAGUUUCCGUGUCUAAUGUUUAACCGUCCGUCUUAUUUGAAAAAAUUAAAAAGACAAGUCGCGCAUAAAAUAUUUAUCAUGUUUUAUCAUCUAACAACAAUGAAAAUACUAAUUAUAAAAAAAAUCCAUAUAAGACGGACGGUCAAACGUUGGACACGAAAAUCCAGGGUUUGUCUUAUU
Molecule: non-coding RNA, 195 nt
Organism: Oryza meridionalis
Lineage: Eukaryota; Viridiplantae; Streptophyta; Magnoliopsida; Poales; Poaceae
Source: Rfam